Molecule: ribosomal RNA, 403 nt
Filed under: uncultured bacterium
Lineage: Bacteria
Description: partial 16S ribosomal RNA
Rfam family: Bacterial small subunit ribosomal RNA
Source: RNAcentral
AUUGAACGCUGGCGGCAGGCCUAACACAUGCAAGUCGAGCGAGCGGCGGACGGUUGAGUCAUGUCUGGGGACUGCCCGAUAGCGGGGGAUCACUACUGGAAACGGUGGCUAAUACCGCCUACUGUCGGAUACCCCAUAUGGGAUUAGCUAGUAGGUAAGGUAAUGGCUUACCUAGGCGACGAUCCCUAGCUGGUCUUAGAGGAUGGUCAGACACACUGGGAUUGAGAUACGGCCCAGACUCCAAGGGAGGCAGCAGGGGGGAAGAGUGCACAAUGGGCGCAAGCCUGAUGCAGCCAUGCCGCGUGUAUGAAGAAGGCCCUAGGGUUGUAAAGUACUUUCAGUCGGGAGGCGUGACCGACAGAAGAAGCACCGGCUAACUCCGUGCCAGCAGCCGCGGUAAUUC